GUUUUUAUAGUUGAAUACAUUUAUUUUUCAGGUCAGAAGUUUUGGUUAAAGUCCAAAUAAAAAUU
Molecule: transfer RNA, 65 nt
Filed under: Aneides hardii (Sacramento mountain salamander)
Lineage: Eukaryota; Metazoa; Chordata; Amphibia; Caudata; Plethodontidae
Description: tRNA-Glu
Source: RNAcentral